This 227-nucleotide ribosomal RNA is filed under the name uncultured Actinomycetales bacterium. RNAcentral's name for it is "partial 16S ribosomal RNA". It matches the Rfam family "Bacterial small subunit ribosomal RNA", at positions 104 to 334 of the family's 1533-position model. The record is from RNAcentral. Lineage: Bacteria; Bacillati; Actinomycetota; Actinomycetes; Actinomycetales.
GGGUGAGUAACACGUGGGUGAUCUGCCCUGCACUCUGGGAUAAGCCUGGGAAACUGGGUCUAAUACCGGAUAGGACCAUGCUUUAGUGUGUGUGGUGGUAAAGUUUUUCGGUGUAGGAUGGGCCCGCGGCCUAUCAGCUUGUUGGUGGGGUAAUGGCCUACCAAGGCGGCGACGGGUAGCCGGACUGAGAGGUUGGUCGGCCACAUUGGGACUGAGAUACGGCCCAG